GUGAACGCUGGCGGUAGGCCUAACCCAUGCAAGUCGAACGGCAGCACAGUAAGAGCUUGCUCUUACGGGUGGCGAGUGGCGGACGGGUGAGGAAUACAUCGGAAUCUACUUUUUCGUGGGGGAUCACGUAGGGAAACUUACGCUAAUACCGCAUACGACCUACGGGUGAAAGCAGGGGAUCUUCGGACCUUGCGCGAUUGAAUGAGCCGAUGUCGGAUUAGCUAGUUGGCGGGGUAAAGGCCCACCAAGGCGACGAUCCGUAGCUGGUCUGAGAGGAUGAUCAGCCACACUGGAACUGAGACACGGUCCAGACUCCUACGGGAGGCAGCAGUGGGGAAUAUUGGACAAUGGGCGCAAGCCUGAUCCAGCCAUACCGCGUGGGUGAAGAAGGCCUUCGGGUUGUAAAGCCCUUUUGUUGGGAAAGAAAAGCAGCAGGUUAAUACCCCGCUGUUCUGACGGUACCCAAAGAAUAAGCACCGGCUAACUUCGUG
Molecule: ribosomal RNA, 491 nt
Filed under: uncultured bacterium
Lineage: Bacteria
Description: partial 16S ribosomal RNA
Rfam family: Bacterial small subunit ribosomal RNA
Source: RNAcentral